Molecule: ribosomal RNA, 429 nt
Filed under: Pseudomonadota bacterium
Lineage: Bacteria; Pseudomonadati; Pseudomonadota
Description: Proteobacteria bacterium partial 16S ribosomal RNA
Rfam family: Bacterial small subunit ribosomal RNA
Source: RNAcentral
UGGGGAAUAUUGGACAAUGGGCGAAAGCCUGAUCCAGCCAUGCCGCGUGUGUGAAGAAGGUCUUCGGAUUGUAAAGCACUUUAAGUUGGGAGGAAGGGCAGUAAGCGAAUACCUUGCUGUUUUUACGUUACCGACAGAAUAAGCACCGGCUAACUCUGUGCCAGCAGCCGCGGUAAUACAGAGGGUGCAAGCGUUAAUCGGAAUUACUGGGCGUAAAGCGCGCGUAGGUGGUUCGUUAAGUUGAAUGUGAAAGCCCCGGGCUCAACCUGGGAACUGCAUCCAAAGCUGGCGAGCUAGAGUAGGGCAGAGGGUGGUGGAAUUUCCUGUGUAGCGGUGAAAUGCGUAGAUAUAGGAAGGAACACCAGUGGCGAAGGCGACCACCUGGGCUCAUACUGACACUGAGGUGCGAAAGAGUGGGGAGCAAACAGG